ACCCUUAGAUGUGCUGGGCCGCACGCGGGAUACAAUGACCCGUUCAGAAAGUAUAACCUGACCCGGAAGGGAGUGGGUAAUCUUUUUAAUGCGGGUCGUGCUAGGGAUCGAUCUUUGCAAUUAUAGAUCUUGAACGAGGAAUACCUAGUAAGUGCAAGUCAUCAGCUUGUACUGAUUACGUCCCUGGUGUUUGUACUCACCGCCCGUCGCUCCUACCAAUUUCGAAUGAUCCGGUGAACCUUUUGGAUUGGGUUGCAAAACCUAAGAAGUUAAGUAAACCUUAUCAUUUAGAGGAAGGAGAAGUCGUAACA
Molecule: ribosomal RNA, 311 nt
Filed under: uncultured eukaryote
Lineage: Eukaryota
Description: partial 18S ribosomal RNA
Rfam family: Eukaryotic small subunit ribosomal RNA
Source: RNAcentral